This 760-nucleotide ribosomal RNA is filed under the name Rothia kristinae. RNAcentral's name for it is "bacterial SSU rRNA". It matches the Rfam family "Bacterial small subunit ribosomal RNA", at positions 44 to 808 of the family's 1533-position model. Lineage: Bacteria; Bacillati; Actinomycetota; Actinomycetes; Micrococcales; Micrococcaceae. The record is from RNAcentral.
GUGCUUAACACAUGCAAGUUGAACGCUGAAGCCUGGUGCUUGCACCGGGUGGAUGAGUGGCGAACGGGUGAGUAAUACGUGAGUGUCCUGCCUUUGACUCUGGGAUAAGCCUGGGAAACUGGGUCUAAUACCGGAUGCGACUACUGCCCGCAUGGGCUGCUGGUGGAAAGGGUUAUGUACUGGUCUUAGAUGGGCUCACGGCCUAUCAGCUGGUUGGUGGGGUAAUGGCCUACCAAGGCGACGACGGGUAGCCGGCCUGAGAGGGUGACCGGCCACACUGGGACUGAGACACGGCCCAGACUCCUACGGGAGGCAGCAGUGGGGAAUAUUGCACAAUGGGCGCAAGCCUGAUGCAGCGACGCCGCGUGAGGGAUGACGGCCUUCGGGUUGUAAACCUCUUUCAGCAGGGAAGAAGCGGAAGUGACGGUACCUGCAGAAGAAGCGCCGGCUAACUACGUGCCAGCAGCCGCGGUAAUACGUAGGGCGCCAGCGUUGUCCGGAAUUAUUGGGCGUAAAGAGCUCGUAGGCGGCUUGUCGCGUUUGCUGUGAAAGCCCGGGGCUUAACUCCGGGUGUGCAGUGGGUACGGGCAGGCUAGAGUGCAGUAGGGGUAACUGGAAUUCCUGGUGUAGCGGUGAAAUGCGCAGAUAUCAGGAGGAACCCCCAUGGCGAAGGCAGGUUAUUGGGCUGUUACUGACGCUGAGGAGCGAAAGCAUGGGGAGCGAACCGGAUUAGAUACCCUGGUAGUUCAUCCCGUAAACG